Non-coding RNA from Callorhinus ursinus (northern fur seal), 692 nucleotides. The record is from RefSeq and is a predicted model, not a curated record. Lineage: Eukaryota; Metazoa; Chordata; Mammalia; Carnivora; Otariidae.
CAGGGCCCGCGUCCGCUGGUCCGCCAGGCCCCGCCUUUUUUGCGGCCCCCGUUGUGCUGCCGGACCCGACGAGCAGGGUCGACGGUGAACCCCACGUAGACGCGACCCCGGUGCCGAGGGUUCAGGCAGUAGAGCAGGUAGACGCCGAAGAAGCGCCCGGGCCUCGCCGCGUCCCCCGCAGGGCCCAUCGGGACUUGUGGGUUGAUUGCUGCGACCUGUGACCUCAGGGAGGGCUGAACUGCCAGGGCCGCAAGAUGCUUGUCUCGGAAAAAGCGUUUGGGGGCGAUCGCGAGGUACCCUAGAGGCCGCAGCAAAUGCAGGUUCGCGCACCCUCUCCUGACUGAAGUAGGGUGUCCAAAUCGGCCCACAGAACCCAGGCUGCGAGGCAGGCGGCGGACACCUAUUAGCGCCCGAAUCCGUCCUUGUGCAGAUUCUGAUUGGCUGGCCGAUGGAAGUCGAGGACACGACUCCCAACCGUUGCGCGUCCAGCUUCCGAGUCCUGGUGGUGUCGGCCAAGUUCGAGGGGAAGCCACUGCUUCAGAGACACCGGCUGGUGAACACGUGCCUAGCGGAAGAGCUUCUGCACAUUCAUGCCUUUGAGCAGAAAACCCUGACCCCAGAGCAGUGGGCCCGUGAGCAGCAGAAAUAAGAGACCAAGGCCUGCACAGCCAUUAAAUUAUGAAUCAGGGCCA